ACGAUUUCAACUGAAGUAAUGAAGGCAGUGUCGUGCUGUCGAGAGAAAGGUGGAUCCCAACAACAGGAAACUACCUAAAUCACCGACCAGUUCUGGUGCUGCCCGCGCGGGGCUCCCUCGCCCGCCGCCGCCGCUGCCACUGCCGCUGCCGCCACCGCCGCCGCCAAGGAGAGAACCCUGAGAUCAUGCCUGGACCAGCCCCUUGGCAACCUGCGCCCACCGCUGCCACCGAAUGCCUCGGGCUGCCACAAACCSGUCACGGAGGGAGAAGCCACCGGUCCCCCAAAAAGCCAAAGCCAAGCUCUAUUGCCAACCUGCAUGUCUAUGCCUGUAUGCCCUUCUCUUGGCCAAGGAAGAAAGGAAGAAGAAAAAAGAAACCCAGGGGCCUGAAUCCCCUGAUUAAACACAGCCCAGCCCUCCAGGCAAGCGGACCCAGUGGCGGCUCCUUGCACCAUUGACCUCAGGCCAGGCACCUUAGGACCGACAGUGGGACCUGGGUCUUCUGGCUAGGUUGUCUGAGGUGGGCAGGAAAAUAGCUCUAAGGAUGGAAGGAGGAGGAUAGGGGUUAUUUCAAGCAUUGAGACCCCUAGACAGCAAACCAAGCCCAGUCAGGAUUUGACACUUAGGACAAUAUCUAUUUCAAUAGAAUUUAGCGCGAUAUGGCUUUUUCCCCCUGAAAACAAGUAAACCAGCACCAAGCAAACAAAGAAACAAAAAGUCAGAACAAACCAGCCCUGCACAGAUGUAACGGCCCGGGAGAUGGCGAGUGUGGAAGGGUAGAAUGGGGCUCCAACACAGGUGCGAGUUCUGGGGAAGAGGCUGAAGACAGAGGGAGGGGACGGGCGCUCUGGCAG
Molecule: long non-coding RNA, 854 nt
Organism: Urocitellus parryii (Arctic ground squirrel)
Lineage: Eukaryota; Metazoa; Chordata; Mammalia; Rodentia; Sciuridae
Source: RefSeq, a predicted model, not a curated record